RNAcentral lists this unclassified non-coding RNA (225 nucleotides) under Hevea brasiliensis (rubber tree). The record is from RNAcentral. Lineage: Eukaryota; Viridiplantae; Streptophyta; Magnoliopsida; Malpighiales; Euphorbiaceae.
UGAUGAUGAUGAUGAUGAUUAGGGUUUCCAUGCUGAUGCCCAUACCACAGCUUCCUCUUUCCAUGUCAAGUAAAGUCCUGAUGAUUCUUGAUCUCCUUGAGGAGGCUGCAUAAGUGACCACCCAGCUCUGUAUCUUUUAAGCAAUGCCUUGACAUCAUCCACAACAUCAUCGCUGAAUCCAACCGGUGUAAACGCCUCCCGGAGUCUCUCACACCACUGAUUUCC